RNAcentral lists this ribosomal RNA (497 nucleotides) under uncultured bacterium. Its description in RNAcentral is "partial 16S ribosomal RNA". It matches the Rfam family "Bacterial small subunit ribosomal RNA", at positions 28 to 507 of the family's 1533-position model. The record is from RNAcentral.
GAUGAACGCUGGCGGCGUGCCUAAUACAUGCAAGUCGAGCGAACGGACGAGAAGCUUGCUUCUCUGAUGUUAGCGGCGGACGGGUGAGUAACACGUGGAUAACCUACCUAUAAGACUGGGAUAACUUCGGGAAACCGUAGCUAAUACCGGAUAAUAUUUUGAACCGCAUGGUUCAAAAGUGAAAGACGGUCUUGCUGUCACUUAUAGAUGGAUCCGCGCUGCAUUAGCUAGUUGGUAAGGUAACGGCUUACCAAGGCAACGAUGCGUAGCCGACCUGAGAGGGUGAUCGGCCACACUGGAACUGAGACACGGUCCAGACUCCUACGGGAGGCAGCAGUAGGGAAUCUUCCGCAAUGGGCGAAAGCCUGACGGAGCAACGCCGCGUGAGUGAUGAAGGUCUUCGGAUCGUAAAACUCUGUUAUUAGGGAAGAACAUAUGUGUAAGUAACUGUGCACAUCUUGACGGUACCUAAUCAGAAAGCCGCGGCUAACUACGUG